GCCUCCCUCCGACCGAAGUUCUCUUUCACUUCCCAGGGGCUGGGUGAGCUGUCCGGGAAGCGAGUGCCGCCUCCUCGCCCCACCGUGAGAAUCUGCCUAUCUGGGAAGACGGGUCUCUCCAAGCGUCCCCGGAGCAAACCCAGAGGCAUUCAACAUUCUCAGCUCAGUUCAGCCCAGGGAAGCUGGCGUGGGGCCAGAUCAGUAUGAGAUGGGACCAGCUGUACUGUUAGUAAACGGUAUCUGCGUGACCACCAACGCGAGGCACUCACCUCUCCCGGUGCAUUUCUUCCCUGCAAAAUAUGACCCCCAUUUCAGACUUUCUGAGACGAUUAAACGAGAAGAUGCUGUUUUCCUUGCUAAGCGGCUUUUCAGUGCUGAAGGAAUACAGGUGCCAAGUCAGUCCUGACUCAUGGAAAACUCACAUCUAUCAGAGAGAAAGGUCGCCCCGGCCUGCUUCCUCCUCAGGCCACUGCGAUUGGUCUUUCCUAGUUGACAUGUCCAAAGGAUGCGAAGCUCAGUCGUGCCAUCUGACUUCUAAGAAGCAUUCUGGUUGGAGUUCUCCUAAGAUGGACCUGUUCAUUUCUCUGACAGCCCAUGAUACAUUCAGUGUUCUUCACCAAUGCCGCAGCGAGAACGUGGGGGUCCGUUCUUCUGUCUUCCUCUCUCCUGGGCCAGCCUCUGCAUGUACAUGGUGGCAUGCAAAAGGCCACGGAUUCGAUCAGCCGCACUUCUGAUGAAAGGGACUUUUGCCCGGUGGUAUUUGCCCAGUGCAGUACCUCGUUUGAUUUCUUGACUGUGGCUUCCGUGGACAUUGAAUGCUGAUCCGAGUAGAA
Echinops telfairi (small Madagascar hedgehog) is the source of this 833-nucleotide long non-coding RNA. RefSeq lists it as uncharacterized. Lineage: Eukaryota; Metazoa; Chordata; Mammalia; Afrosoricida; Tenrecidae. The record is from RefSeq and is a predicted model, not a curated record. The transcript is spliced from 3 exons.